CACAAUGAGAAGAAGCUGCUGCACGGCGACAUGAAGUCAUGCAAUGUGGUCAUCAAAGGCAACUUUGAGACGGUGAAAAUCUGUGACAUCGGUGUUUCUCUGCAGCUGGAUGAGAACAUGAGAGUGCCGAAUCGGAAGCUAACUUCAGCGUCGUGGGUUGGGGCAGUUCUGCAGUCACGCUGCUGCCAUAUUAUGGAAGGUAUGUUGAUUUGAAUAAAACUUAAUUUGAUUCAUGUAUAUACGAUGUGGCUGUGCAAACAGAGGUUGUUAUUGUCAUUUCUGAAACAGCUCCUGCAGUUUACUGUGUUAUUAGCCCUGUCACAAGCUAAUGCUAAUUCCCUGGAGCAACAAAAAACUGAUUCUGACCAAACCGCAGUCAUAACAACGUCUCAAAAUAGCAGAGAGUAUCUUUUUACCUCACUGAUGGCAUGGCUAGGUCUUUAGUGGAAACUGAACUUUGGUAGAAUCGCUGCAGCUGCGCUGACAGUGACCGAUGCAAGCUGUUUGUUUACAUAGCCAUGAGCUGGACCGCAGCAUUCAGAUCUAACCUUUCCGUGCUCUAAACAAUUCUGAGAGAGAGAAAGCUUCAUCUUUCCCCAGUUGUUGUGGCACCCGCGGACAGCGUAAUUGAUGCCAAACAUGUUAAAAUCGCUUAAAAGAACAGUUAAAAGUAGCUACAGUAGCGAGAGGACUCGAUGUUGUUAUAGUGCAAAGACGGUCAAUCGGAAGUCGCUCUCAAAAAUGGCGCUGCCCUGCCUCACUUCCUGAAUAAGGUGAAUACACAACCUGGUCUCACGGGGAUUCGUGAAACUGUCACGUAAGUUUUAGUUUCGGUUUCGUGCGCACCAACACGAAUACAGGCACUCUCGGCCCCACGGCUCGUCAGCGCCAAUAGGCAGUAGCGGUCGAUGCGGCGUCUACUCUUUAUUAUGUCUAUGGAGGAGAGUCUCCUCAAGGACUGAUCACAGCAGCAGAACCCUGAACCACAAGUUAGGGAUGAGACAGAUGAAGAUGAGUCGGUUGUUAGUUUUGAUAAUUUGCUCGCCCUCAGUCACAGGAUGUACAUACAUACAUGCUGAUGUUGUAAAGAGUAGUGUUGGAGAUUUGCCCUUUAACUGAUGUUCUGUGAAAUCUAAGUUGCGAUGGAACUGUUUCCUUGCAGAGGAAAAAAAGACGAUAGCGUUAUUAGAAACUGCAACACUUCUUAUUUUAUUUUUAUUUUUUUCUUUAAAAUGAAAUAUUUAUAUUUUUUCUUUUAAUUAAUUUUAAGAUUUGAAUAUCUGAACACUUAUUUGAACAGAACAGAUUCUGAUAUUGCUGACAAGUAUGUGUUGUAAAGAAUAAUGUUGGAGAUGUGCACUUAUUUUGAAAUAAAUCCACAUUGUGAAGCAA
Long non-coding RNA from Acanthochromis polyacanthus (spiny chromis), 1392 nucleotides. RefSeq lists it as uncharacterized. The transcript is spliced from 2 exons. The record is from RefSeq and is a predicted model, not a curated record. NCBI's taxonomy places the organism in Eukaryota, Metazoa, Chordata, Actinopteri, Pomacentridae.